RNAcentral lists this ribosomal RNA (497 nucleotides) under uncultured bacterium. RNAcentral's name for it is "partial 16S ribosomal RNA". It matches the Rfam family "Bacterial small subunit ribosomal RNA", at positions 28 to 507 of the family's 1533-position model. The record is from RNAcentral.
GAUGAACGCUGGCGGCGUGCCUAAUACAUGCAAGUCGAGCGAAACGACGUGGAAAUUGUUCCUCUGAAUUUAGCGGCGGUCGGGUAAGUAACAAGUGGUUAACAACCCUUUAAGAAUGGGCUAACUUCAGGGGAAUAACGCUAUUACAGGAAAAUUAAUAGAACAGCACGGAUCAAUAGCACAAGGCGGUUAUGUUGACACUUAUAUAUCGAUCCGAUCGGCAUUAGUUAGUUGGUAAGGUAACGGCUUACCAAGCCCACGAAGCGUAGCCGACCUGAGAGGGUGAUCGGCCACACUGGAACUGAGACACGGUCCAGACUCCUACGUGAGGCAGCAGUAGGGCAUCUUCCGCAAUGAGCGGAAGCCUGACGUAGCAACGCCGCGUGAGUGAUGAAGGUCUUCGGAUCGUAAAACUCUGUUAUUAUGGAAGAACAAAUUUGUAAGUAACUAUGCACGUCUUGACGGUACCUAAUCAGAAAGCUACGGCUAACUACGUG